RNAcentral lists this long non-coding RNA (2056 nucleotides) under Olea europaea (common olive). RNAcentral's name for it is "long non-coding RNA (OEUR_LNC010537)". Lineage: Eukaryota; Viridiplantae; Streptophyta; Magnoliopsida; Lamiales; Oleaceae. The record is from RNAcentral.
AGAAUGCUUGGAACUAUUUAGUAAACAUAAGAUUUAGAAGUUGGGCUAGGUUGCAUAUAACAAUGCAUGUCUUUGUGUGAUGAAUGUUUAUGAAUUGACCUAAUAUUUUAUUUAGUACAUUAUUAAUAAUCUUAUAUUAGUAUGAUUUUGGCUUGCAUUGACAUUUAUCUUGGAGAUACUAGACGAUCAACGUGCAUACUAAUUUAAAUUAUAUUAAGUAUAUAAUUCUAUCGUACUUGAAAUAAAUUAUAUGAUAUAUCUAUUUAUUUCACGCUCAUUAUUUUUAUAACUUGUGUUUUUAUCAUAAUUAAACCAAGACUUUUCCUAGAAAAUAUUCAUUUUUUAUUAAGUAAAUAUUAUUUUAUCUAACUCAACUAAUAGCUAUCCAAUAAUUAAUUAGGACAUUUGACCCACAUGUGAAUUCAAUAUGACGAGCUUCAAAUUGUUUUAUUAGCAUAAAUCCAUCUAUGAUUCCCUAGAGGGGAUUUUGGAAAUUUCCCCAUUUGAAAACAAUCAUAUAGUAGUUGAUUAAUUGUCCAACAAUUAUCUUUUGUUUCUACAAUUUUAUUAUAGCUAAAGUAAUUAUUCUAUAUAUUAUUUCUUGCUUAUCCCUUCAUUCAUGUGUUGAGGUUAGUUUUCUUUUGAUUAAUUAUUAUGUUUUAGCUUCGGAAAUCUUAUUAAUAUGUGUAAACGUGUAUUUAUAUCGUUCAUAUAAAGUGUAUAUUCAUGCUUACAUUAUCUAAUGCUCUUAGAAAUAUGAUUUCCCACUUAAUAACUUAUAGUAAUUUUCAAUAAGAGGAAAACUUUUGAAUUAUUAAAUGUCCAGUCAUCGAAUGAAACUAUACAUGAAAAUCUAGAAGCGAGGACAUCUUGAAUUUUCAUCGUUAUUUUAAUUAUGAUUGGAUAAUUUCCACUAAAGAUUCAAUGCACGGGUUUAAUUAUUUUCAUUCUUGAUUUGGAAUUAAGAAUAUAAUUUUUUGUUCGUUUGAACAAUAUGUAGUUAAUACAUCUCAAUUAGGAGUGAUUAUGGAGUUGCUCAAUAUUUUCACGUGAAGGGUAUAUUUCGUGUAAUUAACUAAUAAAGAAAAUGAGUUUAGUUUACCCAAUCACCAUUCUACCAAUAACUACAAUUUAAUCAUAUAGCAUCCAUACGGGACAAAAUAAUGCAUUUAGAUAAGUUUAGUUUUUGAUGGUUCGUGGCACUUUUUACUUAGUUUUAAGGGAUAAUUGCAGCAAAAUUUUAAAGUUUUAAAAUAUUAGUAAACUUUUUUCAAAUAUUUCAUUUGUUGUAGGCGUCAUUUUUAAACCUUUCAACAAUUGCAUGUAAGGUCCUUUUGGAUGGUUUCCAUCCACAGUUAACUACUAAAAUUAAGUUUGACCAUAUUUAAAUCAAUUAAAAGAUGACAAAAUGGUAAGUAUCUAUUCAAUAAUUAAAUAAAACGAUAAUUGAAUAAAAAGUUAGAGCCUGUUUGGGAGUGAUUUUGAGAAUUGAUUUUUUUGACUGUUAGGAAAAAAAUGAGGUUCACCUGUGAAAAAAGAAGUCAAAUAUGACGGCUGAAAUAAUGAAAUAACGAUCAAAAAAUCAAAUUUUGGAGAAAAAAUCACUACUAAACAUGCUCUUAAAACAAAAGAGAAGAUCAGUGGUGCCAAAGAAAAGAAAAGAUCAAUCAUAGGUCGAUGUCAUCUCCACCGCAAAUCGCGACAACUCCACUCCUCAUCUACCUCCUAAAAAUUACAGUCUCCUCCAUGGACUUGGAUGGGGAAAUGAGUCACCAAACUGAGAAGCCUAUUCUUGGCUGAGGAAAUACCUAUAGAUAAUCUAAAUACAUGAGCAAUUUAGAAGAUUAGACCAAGAAAUAUAAUCAUUUGAAAAAUAGCCUUUGAACAAUAUUUUUUUCCAAAAAUACCCCUUAUAGAGAAUUUGCAACCAAAGUCACUACAAUGUAUAAGAACCUUCAAUUAGGUCCUCAGAGAAAUAUAGAUCAUAAAUCUUUAAUAAAUUUAAACCCAAAUAUUAUACAAAAUUUUAUUGAUCUAAGAAAUGCAACAAAUAAUG